This 197-nucleotide ribosomal RNA is filed under the name Caballeronia sordidicola. RNAcentral describes it as "partial 16S ribosomal RNA". It matches the Rfam family "Bacterial small subunit ribosomal RNA", at positions 8 to 211 of the family's 1533-position model. The record is from RNAcentral. Lineage: Bacteria; Pseudomonadati; Pseudomonadota; Betaproteobacteria; Burkholderiales; Burkholderiaceae.
AGAGUUUGAUCCUGGCUCAGAUUGAACGCUGGCGGCAUGCCUUACACAUGCAAGUCGAACGGCAGCACGGGGGCAACCCUGGUGGCGAGUGGCGAACGGGUGAGUAAUACAUCGGAACGUGUCCUGUAGUGGGGGAUAGCCCGGCGAAAGCCGGAUUAAUACCGCAUACGAUCUACGGAAGAAAGCGGGGGAUCCUU